This 239-nucleotide ribosomal RNA is filed under the name uncultured Lactobacillus sp. Its description in RNAcentral is "partial 16S ribosomal RNA". It matches the Rfam family "Bacterial small subunit ribosomal RNA", at positions 122 to 354 of the family's 1533-position model. The record is from RNAcentral. Lineage: Bacteria; Bacillati; Bacillota; Bacilli; Lactobacillales; Lactobacillaceae.
UAACCUGCCCAAGAGAUCGGGAUAACACCUGGAAACAGAUGCUAAUACCGGAUAACAACAGAUGAUGCCUAUCAACUGUUUAAAAGAUGGUUCUGCUAUCACUCUUGGAUGGACCUGCGGUGCAUUAGCUAGUUGGUAGGGUAACGGCCUACCAAGGCGAUGAUGCAUAGCCGAGUUGAGAGACUGAUCGGCCACAUUGGGACUGAGACACGGCCCAAAUCCUACGGGAGGCAGCAGGG